CCCCUCUCAGGGUCACAUCCGGAGAGUUUCUAGUACUCUACCAGUCUUGGUUAUAGGAGGGAGAGUCAAGCAGAUGUCUACCCAUUCCAUUCCUAGCUUGGGCAGUGGCUAGCGAGAGGAAGGCAAUCUGCUACAAGU
RNAcentral lists this small nucleolar RNA (138 nucleotides) under Ornithorhynchus anatinus (platypus). The record is from RNAcentral. Lineage: Eukaryota; Metazoa; Chordata; Mammalia; Monotremata; Ornithorhynchidae.